UGGGGAAUUUUGGACAAUGGGCGAAAGCCUGAUCCAGCAAUGCCGCGUGUGUGAAGAAGGCCUUCGGGUUGUAAAGCACUUUUGUCCGGAAAGAAAUCCUUGGCUCUAAUACAGUCGGGGGAUGACGGUACCGGAAGAAUAAGCACCGGCUAACUACGUGCCAGCAGCCGCGGUAAUACGUAGGGUGCAAGCGUUAAUCGGAAUUACUGGGCGUAAAGCGUGCGCAGGCGGUUUUGUAAGACGGAUGUGAAAUCCCCGGGCUUAACCUGGGAACUGCAUUCGUGACUGCAAGGCUAGAGUAUGGCAGAGGGGGGUUAGAAUUCCACGUGUAGCAGUGAAAUGCGUAGAGAUGUGGAGGAAUACCGAUGGCGAAGGCAGCCCCCUGGGCCAAUACUGACGCUCAUGCACGAAAGCGUGGGGAGCAAACAGGAUUAGAUACCCUGGUAGUCCACGCCCUAAACGAUGUCAACUAGUUGUUGGGGAUUCAUUUCCUUAGUAACGUAGCUAACGCGUGAAGUUGACCGCCUGGGGAGUACGGUCGCAAGAUU
This 548-nucleotide ribosomal RNA is filed under the name uncultured bacterium. RNAcentral describes it as "partial 16S ribosomal RNA". It matches the Rfam family "Bacterial small subunit ribosomal RNA", at positions 355 to 895 of the family's 1533-position model. The record is from RNAcentral.